This 171-nucleotide unclassified non-coding RNA is filed under the name uncultured Herpotrichiellaceae. Its description in RNAcentral is "sequence contains ITS1". The record is from RNAcentral. Lineage: Eukaryota; Fungi; Ascomycota; Eurotiomycetes; Chaetothyriales; Herpotrichiellaceae.
CUGAGUAAGGGUCUUUCAGGCCCGAUCUCCAACCCUCUGUUAAUAACACUAUGUUGCUUUGGCGAGCCGUCUCAAAAGGACGACAUGAAUAAAACUUCAAGUCAGCGCUCGCCAAUGGCCAAUUUAAAUUCUUCAAAAUUAUGUCGUCUGAUAAAAAUAUUUAAUUAUAUA